This 491-nucleotide ribosomal RNA is filed under the name uncultured bacterium. RNAcentral describes it as "partial 16S ribosomal RNA". It matches the Rfam family "Bacterial small subunit ribosomal RNA", at positions 29 to 506 of the family's 1533-position model. The record is from RNAcentral.
AGUGGACGCUGGCGGUAGGCCUAACACAUGCAAGUCGAACGGCAGCACAGUAAGAGCUUGCUCUUACGGGUGGCGAGUGGCGGACGGGUGAGGAAUACAUCGGAAUCUACUUUUUCGUGGGGGAUAACGUAGGGAAACUUACGCUAAUACCGCAUACGACCUACGGGUGAAAGCAGGGGAUCUUCGGACCUUGCGCGAUUGAAUGAGCCGAUGUCGGAUUAGCUAGUUGGCGGGGUAAAGGCCCACCAAGGCGACGAUCCGUAGCUGGUCUGAGAGGAUGAUCAGCCACACUGGAACUGAGACACGGUCCAGACUCCUAUGGGAGGCAGCAGUGGGGAAUAUUGGACAAUGGGCGCAAGCCUGAUCCAGCCAUACCGCGUGGGUGAAGAAGGCCUUCGGGUUGUAAAGCCCUUUUGUUGGGAAAGAAAAGCAGCAGGUUAAUACCCCGCUGUUCUGACGGUACCCAAAGAAUAAGCACCGGCUAACUGCGU